UACGUAGGGUGCGAGCGUUGCCCGGAUUUAUUGGGCGUAAAGGGCGCGUAGGCGGCUUGGCACGUCCGUUGUGAAAUCGCCCGGCUCAACUGGGCGGGGUCAGCGGAUACGGCCGAGCUUGAGCAAGCUAGGGGGCAAUGGAAUUCCCGGUGUAGUGGUGGAAUGCGUAGAUAUCGGGAGGAACACCAGUGGCGAAAGCAGCUUUCUGGGACGGUACUGACGCUGAGACGCGAAAGCGUGGGGAGCGAACAGG
This 253-nucleotide ribosomal RNA is filed under the name uncultured bacterium. Its description in RNAcentral is "partial 16S ribosomal RNA". It matches the Rfam family "Bacterial small subunit ribosomal RNA", at positions 524 to 776 of the family's 1533-position model. The record is from RNAcentral.